RNAcentral lists this ribosomal RNA (416 nucleotides) under Grosmannia abietina. Its description in RNAcentral is "partial 28S ribosomal RNA". It matches the Rfam family "Eukaryotic large subunit ribosomal RNA", at positions 1 to 419 of the family's 3401-position model. Lineage: Eukaryota; Fungi; Ascomycota; Sordariomycetes; Ophiostomatales; Ophiostomataceae. The record is from RNAcentral.
UUGACCUCGGAUCAGGUAGGAUUACCCGCUGAACUUAAGCAUAUCAAUAAGCGGAGGAAAAGAAACCAACAGGGAUUGCCCCAGUAACGGCGAGUGAAGCGGCAACAGCUCANAUUUGGAAUCUGGCCUUCGGGCCCGAGUUGUAAUCUGGAGAGGAUGCUUCUGGCGCGGUGCCUUCCGAGUUCCCUGGAACGGGACGCCGGAGAGGGUGAGAGCCCCGUACGGUUGGACACCUAGCCUCUGUUAAACUCCUUCGACGAGUCAGGUAGUUUGGGAAUGCUGCUCAAAAUGGGAGGUAAAUUUCUUCUAAAGCUAAAUAUUGCCCAGAGACCGAUAGCGCACAAGUAGAGUGAUCGAAAGAUGAAAAGCACUUUGAAAAGAGAGUUAAAAAGUACGUGAAAUUGUUGAAAGGGAAG